UAAAGAAGUCUCCUUCAGCCUUCAAGUCUUCAAGACAUUCAAGAGGAGACCCAGAGUUCGAGAAGCCCUCUUCUACAUCAUCAUAAACUUGUUUGAGGGCUCUUAACUUCUCUCCUAUUUAUAUUGCUGAAUAUCUGCUUGUUUAGAAGCUGUAUUUUUCUGUUUGUUUUUCUAUCCAUUUGGUCCUUACUUGAUUCAAUCAGGGGAUUGAAUCAAGGGUGUAAAGGUUUGUUGGUGAGCCUAGGUUGAAACCAACGUGUAAGGGUUUGAUUGUGAUCCCGGAAAAAUAAUCGGGUGGUUCUAGUCGGUGAGCCUGGGAAAACCGACCGAGUUCGUUGUGAUCUCGUAAAACAAC
RNAcentral lists this long non-coding RNA (355 nucleotides) under Phoenix dactylifera (date palm). RNAcentral describes it as "long non-coding RNA (PDAC_LNC009728)". The record is from RNAcentral. Lineage: Eukaryota; Viridiplantae; Streptophyta; Magnoliopsida; Arecales; Arecaceae.